GAUUAGGACUUUUCUGUCUUUGAGGAACUUUUACUAGGCAUAUUUGUGAUACCAUAAAGACCUCUGUGACACAGUGCACCACCAGAGCCUCCUCUACACCCUCCAAGAACUGGGAGUCUCAGGCUCUGCUCUCUUCCUGCUCGAAUUCUACCUAAAGGACCACACCUACAGGAUCUGAAACCCAGGUGGAGGCACGGAUAUCGGCUUGUCUGGCUGUUAUCUCUCAGUGGAUGGCUGCACAUCACUUGAAACUCGGGAGGCUUUGUGAGGUAUGGUGAUAUCACAGGCACAGCUGACAGGUCGCUCUCCUGUCCACUGCUCUCCAGGCCGCG
Long non-coding RNA from Cottoperca gobio, 332 nucleotides. RefSeq lists it as uncharacterized. The transcript has 3 exons. Lineage: Eukaryota; Metazoa; Chordata; Actinopteri; Perciformes; Bovichtidae. The record is from RefSeq and is a predicted model, not a curated record.